GCUCCGAUGGUGGAAUGGUAGACACGAAGGACUUAAAAUCCUUUGGCUAUAAUGGCUGUGGGGGUUCAAGUCCCCCUCGGAGUA
RNAcentral lists this transfer RNA (84 nucleotides) under Mucinivorans hirudinis. RNAcentral describes it as "tRNA-Leu (TAA) (tRNA-Leu-TAA-1-1)". It matches the Rfam family "tRNA". From Rfam's summary of the family: Transfer RNA (tRNA) molecules are approximately 80 nucleotides in length. Lineage: Bacteria; Pseudomonadati; Bacteroidota; Bacteroidia; Bacteroidales; Rikenellaceae. The record is from Rfam by way of RNAcentral.